CUGAGAGAUCACUCCAGGAACAUCAUUAUUUAACCAGAACUGGUUGGUGGACAGCUGAAAUAAUUAUGGGUGCACUGGAGGACAGAGAACGGUGAUGGGAAAGAGAAGAGAGCUUUAAGAGAAUGAGCUGAGCCCUCAGUAUCUCUCAGAGGCAACCUGUGAUGCUGAAUUUUCUACUGUAGAUUGUACUUUUC
Molecule: long non-coding RNA, 194 nt
Filed under: Cavia porcellus (domestic guinea pig)
Lineage: Eukaryota; Metazoa; Chordata; Mammalia; Rodentia; Caviidae
Description: lncRNA (ENSCPOG00000033686.1)
Source: RNAcentral